This 546-nucleotide ribosomal RNA is filed under the name Triticum aestivum (bread wheat). Its description in RNAcentral is "partial small subunit ribosomal RNA". Lineage: Eukaryota; Viridiplantae; Streptophyta; Magnoliopsida; Poales; Poaceae. The record is from RNAcentral.
AUGAAGACCUCGGCGCCGAUGAGUCCGGAUGAAAUCGACAAGGCGAUGGCUUCCGAGGCGAGGAAAUUCGCGUCGCACGCUCGCGUUUGGGAAUCCGCGUGGGGCGAAACAUGCGGCUUCUUCACAGACACCACGGCGCUGAGUUCCAUGCAGUUUACACACUAUAUAUCUGGACACAUCUCAAACAAUUGUGCUGGGUCCAGUCCGGAAACCUUGCAGGUCUUCUCCAUCAAACUCACGGAAAUAGCUGCUGGUCUCGCCUGGCCAUUGGCUGUGUACGGUGUGGUUGCUGUUCGAGACAUCGCAGAUCAUAACCGUAACCUUCUCUUCUGUUGUGAUAGGAGCCAUGCCCAAGAACUCAAUCAAGAUGAUUCGUUUUUGCGCUUAAUUGGGCCAUCACGUGCAAUUGUGUUAACAGACAUAGUUGACAUUGAAAUCCAACUGAAAGUGAAAGGUCCAACAAAGUCUCAAGAUAAAGCGUUGAUCAGCCAUGUCUGUAAUUAUGGUGGAGAAGGUCUUGGUGUAUCUACCAACCCUUUGCAUUGA